This 85-nucleotide transfer RNA is filed under the name Bacteroidota bacterium. Its description in RNAcentral is "Bacteroidetes bacterium tRNA-Ser". It matches the Rfam family "tRNA". From Rfam's summary of the family: Transfer RNA (tRNA) molecules are approximately 80 nucleotides in length. Their secondary structure includes four short double-helical elements and three loops (D, anti-codon, and T loops). Further hydrogen bonds mediate the characteristic L-shaped molecular structure. tRNAs have two regions of fundamental functional importance: the anti-codon, which is responsible for specific mRNA codon recognition, and the 3' end, to which the tRNAs corresponding amino acid is attached (by aminoacyl-tRNA synthetases). tRNAs cope with the degeneracy of the genetic code in two manners: having more than one tRNA (with a specific anti-codon) for a particular amino acid; and 'wobble' base-pairing, i.e. permitting non-standard base-pairing at the 3rd anti-codon position. The record is from RNAcentral. Lineage: Bacteria; Pseudomonadati; Bacteroidota.
GGAGGGGUGGCAGAGUGGUCUAAUGCACUGGUCUUGAAAACCAGAGUACUGCAAGGUACCGAGGGUUCGAAUCCCUCCCCCUCCG